CAAUAAGUGUUAUUAUGGCACUUUAAAAUCCAUAUCCACCUUGUGUGCAAUGUUUUGAGCUCUCUUCAUUUCGAUGAAGAGAACUUUUAAUUACCUUAACUCUUAAUCUUUAAUUUUUUUGUCUGAAAAAUAUUUCGAAUUUAAUUCCAAAUAAACA
This 157-nucleotide unclassified non-coding RNA is filed under the name uncultured Mortierellaceae. Its description in RNAcentral is "sequence contains ITS1". The record is from RNAcentral. Lineage: Eukaryota; Fungi; Mortierellomycota; Mortierellomycetes; Mortierellales; Mortierellaceae.